UUUCUCUUUUUUAUUAUAUUUUAUUAUACUCACACAUAAACUACUUAUUUUUAUAUUAAUUGUUAUUCAUUUUCUUUAUCAAUUAUCAUUGUGAGUUGUGACUGCCUGCGGUGGUGAAGCAAUUGAUUGAAGAUGUGAGAAGUGUUCUGGCUCUUCAUGUGGGCAACGACUGGCCUUUUAUUGCAGAGUGUUUGUAGAUCAACAUAACAAUCGACAUUGUUUAGUUCAAACAAAGGGCUUGGAUUGAAUCAGUUCAUUCUCAAUCAAGCCCAUUUUGGACUUCCCUUAUAACACCUCAAGCCUCCCGCCCGCCCGCAAGCCAGUAACAAACGCAAACAGAAACAGAGACCGGCGAGCAAGUCUUGCAAGCAUUAACUGCCUGAGUCUAACAAAUGGAGUGAUCAUAUAUUUAUGCUCCGUUUAUGUGCUUUAAAAGUUCAACCAAGCAUAGAAUGCGAUCAACCAGAAUUAUAACUUCAAACUUCAGGAAAUUUUCAUUUCUGGCUCCUACCCGUUUCAAUAAAUCACACAAAAGCCAAAGUCACUUCAACCGUUGAAACCACUGUGAAAAUGCCUUUUCAUUCCAAGUUUUCCGUUGGUUUCUCUUCUUUCUCGUCCUCAGAUCUCGAAAUUCCAUUUGCUGGAAAAUCUCUCUGUAACGAAGGAGAAUGUUCUAGUGAUGGUGAUUAUGAUGAUGGUAGCAUUACAAAAUUAGAUUUAAGAGAUGAUAGUUUUGUUGAAGACGUAACGACCAUUGUGAAUAUAUUGAAUCAAUUGGGUGACAAUCGUUCGGAAAUGAGAAACAAGAUUGAGCAAUGUGGCGUCAAGGUUUCACGGGAGUUGGUCAUGGAGGUAAUGUAUAGAGUAAGAAAUGAGUGGGAGGCGGCAUUUACUUUCUUUCUGUGGGCUAGGUUAUGCCCAUUCUGUGCGUGAAUAUCAUGCUAUGAUUUCUAUUCUUGGUAAAAUGAGAAAGUUUGAUACAGCCUGCGCAUUGAUCGAUGAGAUGAGAACGGGUACACCGCUGUUUCUCUUGCUGUACUGUAGACUUUGCUCAUCAUGAUUAGGAGAUAUUGUGCAGUGCAUGAUGUUGGCCAGGUUAUAAAUACUUUUUAUGCGUAUAAGCGGUUUAAAUUUGAUGUGGGGAUUGACGAGUUUCAAAGUCUUCUGCCCUGAGCCACUACCAGAAUGUGCAAGAUCCUGAGCACUUGAUGUUUUCCCAGAAAGAUGUCUUCCCAUUUAACACAGAUGUUUAAUAAAUUGUGCUUAAUGGGUGUUGUAAUCGGAUUCGUUGUCCUUGUCAGGCUAAAGCAAUGUUUGCGAAUCCUUCACAUAUUUAUGCUUGUGGGAAGUAUAAUUAUGACAGCAAUGCUCAUAUUAAUAAUAUUUCUGUGAUACUGUUUCUCUUUUGGUUUAUCUCAUCCUUGAGCUGUGCUAUCACUUAACAACCACUUGAAAGAUAUGAUUAUUUUGAAAACCAAACUAGUGCCAAGGAACUCCUUUUUGGUAAAAGAAAGUUGUGGUUAACUUGUGGAAGAACUCAGAUAUUUGAUGUUUGCUUGGGCUAAUUUGCGUUGCAGUUAAAGUGGUAGGCCAAUUUGCGUUUUCCUUGUUUAUUAAUCUUGGAAUUCAUUUUUCAUAUGUUAAGAUGUUUAAGAAUUAUUAGCAAACGGUGUUUUACAAUUGACCAAAGGUAAGCGCUGUAUUUUCCAGUGAUACAUAGAUGGGUGAUAGACUAGAUGAUUCAACUAGCAGUUGUGCCUAGCUUUAUGUAACUUCCCAAAAACACAGUUUAGAGUCAUGUGCGUACUCUUUUGGAUGAUGUUUAUUUAAAGGCUUUUUCAUAUUAUGGUUUACCUUCAACAUGCCCCAUGUUGAUGUUUUAGGUUAAACAUUUCUAAUCACAUUAGUUGCAUGUAAUUUUAUGAGAAAAUGAACAAAUGUUUUUUCAGUUUGAUAGGGAAACAUUGGUAAAAUGGAAGUUUCCAACACAGUAUGUCAAGCCAAAUGAACAAAACUGAGAUGUCUUUACCUGGCUUUGAGAAUGAAUCCUCUGAUGGGAAUAACAGUAUGAGUAAUGUUAAGAUCCACGCCUGAAUUUUGUGAAAAGCAUCACUUGAGUCUGUCUCGGGGGAAUUCCCAGAUUGAUAGAUCACAGUUUUUCUUCAGCGCUUCAACUAGUUAUUGUCAUGAACUAUGGAUCUAUUUACCUCAUUAUUGUUCAUGACAUCUCCCUCGGACAUAGUAGGGUACUGAAAUGGUGAAAAAUUUAGAUUUCCUUUGAUGAAAUACCCCAUACUUGUUAGGGAGGAAGGGAAAAUUAGUAUAUUGGACGUUUAUCUUUCAUUUUAUUCCUUCCUUCUAGUGAAGGGAGACUAUACUCAGGCUUCUAUGAGAACCAAGUUUAUAGGUGACAGCCACUACUUGGUUCAUGUUUAUGUUACGUUAUGAGACUUUCUGAAGUCUAAAAAGGGAUAGGUUGAUACUGCGGGCGUUGGUGCACCUCUAGAUGGAGAGUAUUCAGGCAUUUGCAUGCGGAACUAAGAUGUGGCACAAUUUACUUGAGGUUGAGUUGAUAAUUUUGUAUGCUUCCGUGAGCUCAUUUGGCCUUUUGAAUUGUGCUAGACAAACUGAAACAUGUGUUGACAGAGUGCUUAUGGGUUGAUGAAAAAUGAAGUCAUGUAGCUGCCCUGCCCAUAACAUUUUUCUUCCUUUUGAUAAAUGCACAAUUUUCAACACAAACAGUGUAUUUUUCUACCAUGUUUUACUUUUGUUAUAAUACUCUUGUAUGUUAAUAAUGCAGGCAGGGACCAGCAAAAGAGUCAAAUUAAUGAAAGUUUAGAUCUGGAUUCUCAUUUUAAAGGUUUUCACAUAGAGAACUCCUCACUUCAUGGUUAUCAAAAAAAAAAAAAAAAGAACUCUUUCAUGCUUAGCCCCAAGGUGUCAUUUUUAACUUUAGCUUAGUGUUGUGUGUCUAAAAGAGAGUAAUCCAUAAACUGUAGACUCUAGAGUUCCAUGUUAGGCCUAACUCACUAUGUAGUGUCUGGCAUGAGAAAUCUAGUGCAUUGCCUUUUGACAUGAGAGGCUACCUACUUAUUAGAUUAGGUGAGCUACACGUGGAAAACAACAGGUGAUCACAAUCAAGACAUUUUCAUUGUUGAAAAUCUGCCAGCUGUUGCAUGUCCAUACAUGCUUACCAUACCUCUUGACUAGUCUAACUCAUUUAUAUUUCUUUCAUGAUCAUGUAUUCAGUCAAACCCUUCUAACAGCCUGAUGUAACAUUAAUGGGGUAAUCACAUGCUUGGUCAGGGUAUGAGUCCAAGCUGCAGCGCACUAGGUUUGGAUGAAAAGAAGGCAGAAUCAAAUUCCAUGCAAUAUUAUUUGAUUAAUAUUACAGUGUGUGACCUAGACAGAACUAAGCCAUAGAAAAGGAAAUAUUAACGAGGAUAAGGAUCAUGUAAAUGGCCGAGCUGGUUACUGAUGGAGCUUCAUUUUCAUAUCUACCUUUGUAGGUGGUCAUUAAUUCAUUUUCUGCAGGUAGAUUGAAAGUCAAGGGUAUCACAACUGAGUGGAGAGAUGCUUUUGACCAUUGAGCAGAUUUAGCAUGUGGGUACUUGAAUUUCAGCCAAACAAGUUACCUAGUACAUGGGAAAGGAGAGAAGAACCUAUGGAAAUCCCAGGUACUUAUGAUUUGCAUCACACAUGACAUAAUAUUCAAAGCAUUAAAAAAAAAAAUCGUAUUCCUUGCAUGAUAAAAAAAAUAUGUAUAUAAAGUGCAGCCUACCAGCCAAACAAAAGCAUCUCUAAAGGAUAAAUACCAAGUCUAAGGACUUGUGGAUAAUCAUAAAACUUUUUGUUUAUAGUGUUAGCAUAUCAUAUGCUUCCAAAAUUUAUCUGAUACCUCUACACCGUGUUUGUCUUAUUAUCCAUUUGUCCAAUUUUUGCACCUCUUUUCUGUUCAACAACGUCCAUGGCUUUAUUAUAUGGUGCAAGUCUUCCCAUAUUUUGGAACUCCAGCUUUCUUUAAUUAGUCAGUUUUUCUGACGAUUGCCGUGCUCUGUUUGAUUGCCAAGAAGUUUCACAUCAUAGAGGAGAAGUUAAAAGUGACAAUCCCAUUGUUGUUUGGCAAUCCAUUUAGCUUUCUGUAAACAUUUAAUGCACUAUUCCACGAAUUAUACUUUUGAACCAUAAAUGAAAUGCGAUAAACAGAUUUAAAAAAUAAGGAUUUUGGGUCACUUUGUGUGUUUUGUAUUUUAUGCACUUUUAGUUGCUAGAAGCGAAAAGGAUUUAUAUGAUUAACCUCAACUAAUUUAAAAUUAAGAUUUAGCAGUUAUCAUUGUUUGAGAUUGCUUAGCCAAAUCUGUUGUCAUGCUUAGAAAAUGUAAGUAGCACACUUGUUCGGGGUGAAGGAGUCAUUAAGUAGGCUAGUUUUGCGGUUAUGACUUUGAAUUUUAUGGCUUUGGGAGAGGGAGAUUCUUCAUUCUUGUUUGGUAAUCAAUUUACUAUGACUAGAUCAAUUAAAACUCACACCACGUCAUCAAUUUGCAUCACACGUGUGUUUCAAAUCUGUUCGAGGAUUGACUAUUUAAAGCUUUUUUUUUCUAAUUAUUAGUAAUAUUCUUCUAAUUUCCUUGGCCA
Hevea brasiliensis (rubber tree) is the source of this 4635-nucleotide long non-coding RNA. RefSeq lists it as uncharacterized. The transcript is spliced from 3 exons. Lineage: Eukaryota; Viridiplantae; Streptophyta; Magnoliopsida; Malpighiales; Euphorbiaceae. The record is from RefSeq and is a predicted model, not a curated record.